UGGGGGGAACCCUGAUCCAGCGACGCCGCGUGAGUGAAGAAGUAUUUCGGUAUGUAAAGCUCUAUCAGCAGGGAAGAAAAAAUGACGGUACCUGACUAAGAAGCCCCGGCUAACUACGUGCCAGCAGCCGCGGUAAUACGUAGGGGGCAAGCGUUAUCCGGAUUUACUGGGUGUAAAGGGAGCGUAGACGGUAAUGCAAGUCUGAAGUGAAAGGCGGGGGCUCAACCCCCGGACUGCUUUGGAAACUGUGUAACUGGAGUGCAGGAGAGGUAAGUGGAAUUCCUAGUGUAGCGGUGAAAUGCGUAGAUAUUAGGAGGAACACCAGUGGCGAAGGCGGCUUACUGGACUGUAACUGACGUUGAGGCUCGAAAGCGUGGGGAGCAAACAGG
Molecule: ribosomal RNA, 389 nt
Filed under: uncultured bacterium
Lineage: Bacteria
Description: bacterial SSU rRNA
Rfam family: Bacterial small subunit ribosomal RNA
Source: RNAcentral